UGGAUCCCAUAAUCUGUAACCAACAGUUG
RNAcentral lists this small RNA (29 nucleotides) under Bombyx mori (domestic silkworm). RNAcentral describes it as "piRNA piR-bmo-1677225". The record is from RNAcentral. Lineage: Eukaryota; Metazoa; Arthropoda; Insecta; Lepidoptera; Bombycidae.